Non-coding RNA from Paramuricea clavata, 242 nucleotides. Lineage: Eukaryota; Metazoa; Cnidaria; Anthozoa; Malacalcyonacea; Plexauridae. The record is from the annotation of a GenBank genome assembly.
GCAUACUUUGCCUAGUCUUACUAAACAAUUAAUGCUGGGAACAAUCGUUUUGUCUUGAGAUUGUGCAGGAAGAACGAUUUUUUACGUAUAGCUAUGAAGGGGGAGGGGAGAGGGGUGUUAGGGGGUGUUUAAGGGAGUGUUAUAGGUGGAUGUUUGAGGGACGUGCUAGAGAGGGUGUUAGAGGGGUUUUUAGAGGGGGUGUUAGAGAUUAGGGGGGAGUUGGAGUUGGUAUCAUGUCCUUG